UUAAGUUAUUAAGGGCGCACGGUGGAUGCCUUGGCACUAGAAGCCGAUGAAGGACGUUACUAACGACGAUAUGCUUUGGGGAGCUGUAAGUAAGCUUUGAUCCAGAGAUUUCCGAAUGGGGAAACCCAGCAUGAGUUAUGUCAUGUUAUCGAUAUGUGAAUACAUAGCAUAUCAGAAGGCACACCCGGAGAACUGAAACAUCUUAGUANCCGGAGGAAGAGAAAGAAAAUUCGAUUCCCUUAGUAGCGGCGAGCGAAACGGGAAGAGCCCAAACCAACAAGCUUGCUUGUUGGGGUUGUAGGACACUCUAUACGGAGUUACAAAGGACGACAUUAGACGAAUCAUCUGGAAAGAUGAAUCAAAGAAGGUAAUAAUCCUGUAGUCGAAAAUGUUGUCUCUCUUGAGUGGAUCCUGAGUACGACGGAGCACGUGAAAUUCCGUCGGAAUCUGGGAGGACCAUCUCCUAAGGCUAAAUACUCUCUAGUGACCGAUAGUGAACCAGUACCGUGAGGGAAAGGUGAAAAGCACCCCGGAAGGGGAGUGAAAUAGAACCUGAAACCGUGUGCUUACAAGUAGUCAGAGCCCGUUAAUGGGUGAUGGCGUGCCUUUUGUAGAAUGAACCGGCGAGUUACGAUUUGAUGCAAGGUUAAGCAGUAAAUGUGGAGCCGUAGCGAAAGCGAGUCUGAAUAGGGCGUUUAGUAUUUGGUCGUAGACCCGAAACCAGGUGAUCUACCCUUGGUCAGGUUGAAGUUCAGGUAACACUGAAUGGAGGACCGAACCGACUUACGUUGAAAAGUGAGCGGAUGAACUGAGGGUAGCGGAGAAAUUCCAAUCGAACCUGGAGAUAGCUGGUUCUCUCCGAAAUAGCUUUAGGGCUAGCCUCAAGUGAUGAUUAUUGGAGGUAGAGCACUGUUUGGACGAGGGGCCCCUCUCGGGUUACCGAAUUCAGACAAACUCCGAAUGCCAAUUAAUUUAACUUGGGAGUCAGAACAUGGGUGAUAAGGUCCGUGUUCGAAAGGGAAACAGCCCAGACCACCAGCUAAGGUCCCAAAAUAUAUGUUAAGUGGAAAAGGAUGUGGCGUUGCCCAGACAACUAGGAUGUUGGCUUAGAAGCAGCCAUCAUUUAAAGAGUGCGUAAUAGCUCACUAGUCGAGUGACACUGCGCCGAAAAUGUACCGGGGCUAAACAUAUUACCGAAGCUGUGGAUUGUCCUUUGGACAAUGGUAGGAGAGCGUUCUAAGGGCGUUGAAGCAUGAUCGUAAGGACAUGUGGAGCGCUUAGAAGUGAGAAUGCCGGUGUGAGUAGCGAAAGACGGGUGAGAAUCCCGUCCACCGAUUGACUAAGGUUUCCAGAGGAAGGCUCGUCCGCUCUGGGUUAGUCGGGUCCUAAGCUGAGGCCGACAGGCGUAGGCGAUGGAUAACAGGUUGAUAUUCCUGUACCACCUAUAAUCGUUUUAAUCGAUGGGGGGACGCAGUAGGAUAGGCGAAGCGUGCGAUUGGAUUGCACGUCUAAGCAGUAAGGCUGAGUAUUAGGCAAAUCCGGUACUCGUUAAGGCUGAGCUGUGAUGGGGAGAAGACAUUGUGUCUUCGAGUCGUUGAUUUCACACUGCCGAGAAAAGCCUCUAGAUAGAAAAUAGGUGCCCGUACCGCAAACCGACACAGGUAGUCAAGAUGAGAAUUCUAAGGUGAGCGAGCGAACUCUCGUUAAGGAACUCGGCAAAAUGACCCCGUAACUUCGGGAGAAGGGGUGCUCUUUAGGGUUAACGCCCAGAAGAGCCGCAGUGAAUAGGCCCAAGCGACUGUUUAUCAAAAACACAGGUCUCUGCUAAACCGUAAGGUGAUGUAUAGGGGCUGACGCCUGCCCGGUGCUGGAAGGUUAAGAGGAGUGGUUAGCUUCUGCGAAGCUACGAAUCGAAGCCCCAGUAAACGGCGGCCGUAACUAUAACGGUCCUAAGGUAGCGAAAUUCCUUGUCGGGUAAGUUCCGACCCGCACGAAAGGCGUAACGAUUUGGGCACUGUCUCAACGAGAGACUCGGUGAAAUCAUAGUACCUGUGAAGAUGCAGGUUACCCGCGACAGGACGGAAAGACCCCGUGGAGCUUUACUGUAGCCUGAUAUUGAAAUUCGGCACAGCUUGUACAGGAUAGGUAGGAGCCUUUGAAACGUGAGCGCUAGCUUACGUGGAGGCGCUGGUGGGAUACUACCCUAGCUGUGUUGGCUUUCUAACCCGCACCACUUAUCGUGGUGGGAGACAGUGUCAGGCGGGCAGUUUGACUGGGGCGGUCGCCUCCUAAAAGGUAACGGAGGCGCUCAAAGGUUCCCUCAGAAUGGUUGGAAAUCAUUCAUAGAGUGUAAAGGCAUAAGGGAGCUUGACUGCGAGACCUACAAGUCGAGCAGGGUCGAAAGACGGACUUAGUGAUCCGGUGGUUCCGCAUGGAAGGGCCAUCGCUCAACGGAUAAAAGCUACCCCGGGGAUAACAGGCUUAUCUCCCCCAAGAGUUCACAUCGACGGGGAGGUUUGGCACCUCGAUGUCGGCUCAUCGCAUCCUGGGGCUGUAGUCGGUCCCAAGGGUUGGGCUGUUCGCCCAUUAAAGCGGUACGCGAGCUGGGUUCAGAACGUCGUGAGACAGUUCGGUCCCUAUCCGUCGUGGGCGUAGGAAAUUUGAGAGGAGCUGUCCUUAGUACGAGAGGACCGGGAUGGACAUACCUCUGGUGUACCAGUUGUCGUGCCAACGGCAUAGCUGGGUAGCUAUGUGUGGACGGGAUAAGUGCUGAAAGCAUCUAAGCAUGAAGCCCCCCUCAAGAUGAGAUUUCCCAACUUCGGUUAUAAGAUCCCUCAAAGAUGAUGAGGUUAAUAGGUUCGAGGUGGAAGCAUGGUGACAUGUGGAGCUGACGAAUACUAAUCGAUCGAAGACUUAAUCAA
This 2921-nucleotide ribosomal RNA is filed under the name Staphylococcus aureus. RNAcentral describes it as "23S ribosomal RNA". It matches the Rfam family "Bacterial large subunit ribosomal RNA". The record is from RNAcentral. Lineage: Bacteria; Bacillati; Bacillota; Bacilli; Caryophanales; Staphylococcaceae.